GGGCUCACACAAGCGGUGGAGCAUGUGGUUCAAUUCGAAGCAACGCGCAGAACCUUACCUGGGCUUGACAUGCCAGGAUUAUCCCCAUGAAAGUGGGGUAGGCCCUUCGGGGUACAACUGGUACAGGUGCUGCAUGGCUGUCGUCAGCUCGUGUCGUGAGAUGUCGGGUUAAGUCCCUUAACGAGCGAAACCUUUGCCCUUAGUUACCAGCGGGUUAUGCCGGGGACUCUAAGGGGACUGCCGGUGUCAAACCGGAGGAAGGUGGAGAUGACGUCAAGUCCUCAUGGCCUUUAUGCCCAGGGCCACACACGUGCUACAAUGGCGUGCACAGAGCGAACCGAGAGCGCAAGCUGGAGGAAAUCGCACAAAUCACGCCCCAGUUCAGAUCGGAGGCUGCAACUCGCCUCCGUGAAGUUGGAAUCGCUAGUAAUCGCGGAUCAGCUACGCCGCGGUGAAUGUGUUCCUGAGCCUU
Molecule: ribosomal RNA, 472 nt
Filed under: uncultured bacterium
Lineage: Bacteria
Description: bacterial SSU rRNA
Rfam family: Bacterial small subunit ribosomal RNA
Source: RNAcentral